RNAcentral lists this ribosomal RNA (468 nucleotides) under uncultured bacterium. RNAcentral's name for it is "partial 16S ribosomal RNA". It matches the Rfam family "Bacterial small subunit ribosomal RNA", at positions 28 to 507 of the family's 1533-position model. The record is from RNAcentral.
GACGAACGCUGGCGGCGUGCUUAACACAUGCAAGUCGAACGGAAAGGCCCUGCUUUUGUGGGGUGCUCGAGUGGCGAACGGGUGAGUAACACGUGAGUAACCUGCCCUUGACUUUGGGAUAACUUCAGGAAACUGGGGCUAAUACCGGAUAGGAGCUCCUGCUGCAUGGUGGGGGUUGGAAAGUUUCGGCGGUUGGGGAUGGACUCGCGGCUUAUCAGCUUGUUGGUGGGGUAGUGGCUUACCAAGGCUUUGACGGGUAGCCGGCCUGAGAGGGUGACCGGCCACAUUGGGACUGAGAUACGGCCCAGACUCCUACGGGAGGCAGCAGUGGGGAGUAUGGCACAAUGGGCGGAAGCCUGAUGCAGCAACGCCGCGUGCGGGAUGACGGCCUUCGGGUUGUAAACCGCUUUCGCCUGUGACGAAGCGUGAGUGACGGUAAUGGGUAAAGAAGCACCGGCUAACUACGUG